CGACUGCCACCCCCACCCAGCGUUCUCUGAGCCUCAAGGCUCCCCAGGCUUCCCUUCUACCUUCCACCCAGUGUACCCCACUCACCAGCUCUCCAAAGAGUGAAGGAAGAGGAGCUGACAUUCCGGAUGGAGCAGGAGUCUUCAUGGAGGUCAUAGUGGCUCCCAUCGCCCAGCGGCAGCCUGUCUUUCAGCCACUGGACUGAGGGGUGAAGAGUCCUAGUAGGACGUGAGAGGAGACCACCAUCAUCUUGAUUAGGUGGUCUCUCAGCAGCCCACAUCUACUCAUCCCGCCCCUGGGGGCCCCCCAGCAGCUCCCACUCCCAGUGUCCCUGAGCUUUGUUGACCCCCACAACUGUGGUCUGGAGGCUUUGGGCAGGAGAGGGCUCUGGGCUUUUCCUAAUCAUGGGGUCAGGACCUUGGGCUAUGUGGGAGGGGCAAGCAUAAGCCUUUGUACCCCUGGCUGGAGGCCAAGCUGAGAGCCCAGGCAACAUCACAGCGUGGAGCCAGCCUCAGGGACAGGAGGUGGGAGUGGGGCCCGUGCUUGUCCCUCUCUGACCCCUCUACCUGCCAUGGUCUGGCCGGGGCCUCCUCGAGGCAGGCUGGGCACUGGUGCCAACCCCCGGUUCCACGGGGCUCCUUGGCUGAGCAGACUGGUCCCCCAGGAGGUGGGCAAGACUCACUCUCUGUCUUUGUGGCCGGUCAGUCAGGGCACCAGGAUGGGUCAGAGGCUGCUGCCAUCCCAAAGGAGAAAGUUAAACAAGAACAGGAUGAGUUAACAUGUAACUUUGCACCAGCUGCCUCAUGGGUGCUGGGGACGCCAGCACAGUAUCAUGUGGCUGGAGUGGGCAGGGCCCAGGCGGCUGGGAGGGGCCCUCGGAGUGAACUUCACCUGUUCCAGGGUCACCAUGAUGGAGGGAGGGACCAUGGAUGCACACCCCUGGCACCCCUCAUGAGGCUGGG
This is a long non-coding RNA of Zalophus californianus (California sea lion), 960 nucleotides long. RefSeq lists it as uncharacterized. The record is from RefSeq and is a predicted model, not a curated record. The transcript has 3 exons. Lineage: Eukaryota; Metazoa; Chordata; Mammalia; Carnivora; Otariidae.